UAACUAUUUUUUCCAAAAUAUUAUUUCAGUUUAAGUUACAAGUAUUUUCAAUUUAAUUUCCUUUACACUUGCUUCACAUUGCAACGUAACGAUAUCGACGAACUCGAUUGAAUCACUGACAAAUGUUCCUGUGGAAUGAAGGCCUUUUAUAGCGACCAACUACAUGGACUCUUAUGAGUCCAUAACAACCCAUGUGCUUAAAUCUAAAAGUUGUUAAUUGUAAAUUGUGAGGCCAAACUGAAUCACCGAGUAGAAGUUCUGAAUAAUUUU
Molecule: long non-coding RNA, 270 nt
Organism: Bradysia coprophila
Lineage: Eukaryota; Metazoa; Arthropoda; Insecta; Diptera; Sciaridae
Source: RefSeq, a predicted model, not a curated record